GCGGAUUAAUUCGAUGCAACGCGAAGAACCUUACCUGGGUUUGACAUGGCCGCAAAACCGGCAGAGAUGUCGGGUCCUUCGGGGGCGGUCACAGGUGGUGCAUGGCUGUCGUCAGCUCGUGUCGUGAGAUGUUGGGUUAAGUCCCGCAACGAGCGCAACCCUCGUUCGAUGUUGCCAGCGCGUUAUGGCGGGGACUCAUCGAAGACUGCCGGGGUCAACUCGGAGGAAGGUGGGGAUGACGUCAAGUCAUCAUGCCCCUUAUGUCCAGGGCUUCACGCAUGCUACAAUGGCCGGUACAAUGGGCUGCGAUACCGUGAGGUGGAGCGAAUCCCAAAAAGCCGGUCUCAGUUCGGAUCGGGGUCUGCAACUCGACCCCGUGAAGUCGGAGUCGCUAGUAAUCGCAGAUCAGCAACGCUGCGGUGAAUACGUUCCCGGGCCUUGUACACACCGCCCGUCACGUCACGAAAGUCGGCAACACCCGAAGCCGGUGGCCCAACCCUUGUGGAGGGAGCCGUCGAAGGUGGGUGCUGGCGAUUGGACGA
This 542-nucleotide ribosomal RNA is filed under the name Micromonospora sp. Its description in RNAcentral is "bacterial SSU rRNA". It matches the Rfam family "Bacterial small subunit ribosomal RNA", at positions 941 to 1483 of the family's 1533-position model. The record is from RNAcentral. Lineage: Bacteria; Bacillati; Actinomycetota; Actinomycetes; Micromonosporales; Micromonosporaceae.